This is a long non-coding RNA of Anolis carolinensis (green anole), 2015 nucleotides long. RefSeq lists it as uncharacterized. The record is from RefSeq and is a predicted model, not a curated record. Lineage: Eukaryota; Metazoa; Chordata; Lepidosauria; Squamata; Anolidae. The transcript has 2 exons.
GUUAUCUAAAUGCAACUGUGUCCCUUUUUUUAAUGAUUCAGUUCACACUUCAUGUUGUUGUUAUUGCCCCAACUUUAUUUUCCAUUUUCAUUGCUAUGAUAUUUAAUCUUGUUGAUGGGAAGCUUCCCACAGGAGUGGAAAUCAUCUAUCGGACCGAUGGCAAGCUAUUCAACCUCAACAGAUUGAAAGCCAAAACCAAGGAUGUUCUGCAGCGUCACUCUGGAAUCCCUCGCUCCCUAAAGAGCAGCCACAGCUUCUCCUCCAAGGCCGGAUGAGUCCCACGCAAGCCCUUCACCACCUCCGAGGCCCAGAGAAAGUAAUCCUGGACCCGCUUUUCAGACCAACCUGUCCAAAGAGAGACCUCGCAGUCAGAAAGUGACAAACGUGUUUGUCAUGUGUCUCCUGUCAGAGCGACUCUGUCUCAUGGCUAGGAGGCACGGAGCUUCUCAGAGCCAGAGACUAAAGAGGCUAAAGCUUCAGCUGGAAAGAUACAUUUUCUUUCCCUGUGAUCCAAGGAGUCACAGGAAAGGUGUUUUGGACUUCAACUUCCAGAAAGCUGGCUUCUUUAGCAACUACUGUCCAAGAGAUGCUAUCCAAAAUUGCACAGCUGAUCUUGAGAACUCCCUUCUUGGGCUGCCAUUGCAAUAUCGUUCCCUGAACCCUACUUUCAAAAUUCCACACAGUUCCCAUUUGGAGAAGCUUCAUUUCAUAUUGCUGCAUUCCACUUUGAGGAUGUAUUUGUUGCAAUUUGUAUAUAAAUUAAGUAUAUUCAUGAUUAAUUAUGAAGUCAGAAUGACUAAAGCAGUGGUCCCGUGGGCUCCACGAAGCAUACUUAGGGGCUCCACAGUGUCCUCCUCCUUCCUCCCCCUCCAAGCUUUCCCUCCUCUUUUCUGCUCCUCCCCCCCCCCCCUCACUGCCAAAAGCCCUUUUUCUUCACCUUCCAGAUACUUUCCCCCUCACAUUGCUUGCUUCCAAAACCCUAUUUCCCUCCCACAGCUUAGGGGGUGCUUUGAUUGUGUUUUUCCUGCAAGGCAGAAGAGGGUUGGACUGGAUGGUCCCUGGGGUCUUCCACUGAUAUACUAUUAAGUCUCUAAUAGUAAAAAAAAAGUUUGCCACUGCCUGAUACAUAGGUAUUUUAUAUAUAAUAUAAUAUAAAAAAACAUUUCUUGGGGUGCCACAAGAAACUUUUGCUUCACAAAGGGCUCUGCAGCUGAAAAAGCUUGAGAACCCCUGGACUCGAAAAAUCUCAGUGGCUGAUGUAACCAUGAAGAGUCAUAGAAUAAUAGAGUUGGAAGAGAUCACAUGGGCCAUCUAGUCCAAAUCCCUGCCAUGCAACUAUGUACAGUAGAGUCUCACAUAUCCAAGCCUCGCUUAUCCAAGCUUCUGGAUAAUCCAAGCCAUUUUUGUAGUCAAUGUUUUCAAUAUAUCGUGAUAUUUUGGUGCAAAAUUCGUAAAUACAGAAAUUACAACAUAACAUUACUGCGUAUUGAACUACUUUUUCUGUCAAAUUUGUUGUAUAACAUGAUAUUUUGGUGCUUAAUUUGUAAAAUCAUAACCUAAUUUGAUGUUUAAUAGGCUUUUCCUUAAUCCCUCCUUAUUAUCCAAGAUAUUCGCUUAUCCAAGCUUCUGCUGGCCCAUUUAGCUUGGAUAAGUGAGACUCUACUGUACAUAAUCCCAGGCAGCAGGGAUGAUAAUAUAAUAAUUUAGUGUAAUAGUCGAUUGGUUAAUAUUUGUAUGAAUUUGGACAGCAAAUGUAACAUUUUACCUUGGUGUUGCUGUAGAUUGGUAUCAUUGCUGUUUUGUUGGGGGAAAGAGAGAUGUGAAAGAAUUUGUUGUGCAAUUGUGCUUUGUACAGACUGCUUGUGUUUUGUAUUACUGUACAAGAGAUAGAGCCUUCCUGUUUUAAGAAGUAUACUUCUGCUGUCUGCCUUUCUGCUGUUCAAAUCGGGCAAAGUCCAGAGUUGCUAAGAACCGGAGCUGCUUGUACACUGAGUAAAUAUGCUAAGUUAAAAGUA